CCUACGGGUGGCAGCAGUGGGGAAUAUUGGACAAUGGGGGAAACCCUGAUCCAGCGACGCCGCGUGGGUGAUGAAGUAUUUCGGUUUGUACACUCCUUUUAGUAGAAAAUAAAAUGACGGUACCUGACUAAGAAGCACCGGCUAACUACGUGCCAGCAGCCGCGGUAAUACGUAGGGGGCAAGCGUUACUCGGAUGUACUGGGCGUAAAGGGAGCGUAAGCGGCGGCGCAAGGCUGGAGUGAAAUGCAGGGGCCCAACCCCGGAACUGCACUGGAAACUGUGAUGCUGGAGUGCAGGAGAGGUAAGCGGAAUUCCUGGUGUAGCGGUAAAAGGCGUAGAUAUCAGGAGGAACACCGGCGGCGAAGGCGACUUGCUGGACUGUAACUGACGUUGAGGCGCGAAGGCGUGGGGAGCAAACAGGAUUAGAUACCCGGGUAGUC
Molecule: ribosomal RNA, 440 nt
Filed under: uncultured bacterium
Lineage: Bacteria
Description: partial 16S ribosomal RNA
Rfam family: Bacterial small subunit ribosomal RNA
Source: RNAcentral